ACGGAAGGCAGCAGUGGGGAAUAUUGGGCAAUGGGCGAAAGCCUGACCCAGCAACGCCGCGUGAAGGAAGAAGGCCUUCGGGUUGUAAACUUCUUUUAUCAGGGACGAAUAAAAUGACGGUACCCAAAGAAUAAGUCACGGCUAACUACGUGCCCGCAGCCGCGGUAAUACGUAGGUGACAAGCGUUAUCCGGAUUUACUGGGCGUAAAGGGCGUGUAGGCGGUCUUGCAAGUCAGAAGUGAAAUUCCUGAGCUCAACUCGGGCGCUGCUUCUGAAACUGCAGGACUUGAGUGCUGGAGGGGAUAGCGGAAUUCCUAGUGGAGCGGUAAAAUGCGCAGAUAUUAGGAAGAACACCGGUGGCGAAGGCGGCUAUCUGGACAGUAACUGACGCUGAGGCGCGAAAGCGUGGGGAGCAAACAGGAUUAGAUACCCUGGUA
RNAcentral lists this ribosomal RNA (437 nucleotides) under uncultured Saccharofermentans sp. Its description in RNAcentral is "partial 16S ribosomal RNA". It matches the Rfam family "Bacterial small subunit ribosomal RNA", at positions 341 to 792 of the family's 1533-position model. Lineage: Bacteria; Bacillati; Bacillota; Clostridia; Eubacteriales; Oscillospiraceae. The record is from RNAcentral.